RNAcentral lists this ribosomal RNA (173 nucleotides) under uncultured bacterium. Its description in RNAcentral is "partial 16S ribosomal RNA". It matches the Rfam family "Bacterial small subunit ribosomal RNA", at positions 1331 to 1500 of the family's 1533-position model. The record is from RNAcentral.
GUUGCUAGUAAUCGCGAAUCAGCAUGUCGCGGUGAAUACGGUUCCCGGGCCUUGUACACACCGCCCGUCACACCAUGAGAGUUGGCAAUACCCAACGUACGUGAUCUAACCCGCAAGGGAGGAAGCGUCCUAAGGUAGGGUCAGCGAUUGGGGUGAAGUCGUAACAAGGUAUC